CCUACGGGAGGCAGCAGUGGGGAAUUUUGGACAAUGGGCGCAAGCCUGAUCCAGCCAUGCCGCGUGCGGGAAGAAGGCCUUCGGGUUGUAAACCGCUUUUGUCAGGGAAGAAAUCCUUUGGGUUAAUACCUCGGAGGGAUGACGGUACCUGAAGGAUAAGCACCGGCUAACUACGUGCCAGCAGCCGCGGUAAUACGUAGGGUGCGAGCGUUAAUCGGAAUUACUGGGCGUAAAGCGUGCGCAGGCGGUUAUGCAAGACAGAUGUGAAAUCCCCGGGCUCAACCUGGGAACUGCAUUUGUGACUGCAUAGCUAGAGUACGGUAGAGGGGGAUGGAAUUCCGCGUGUAGCAGUGAAAUGCGUAGAUAUGCGGAGGAACACCGAUGGCGAAGGCAAUCCCCUGGACCUGUACUGACGCUCAUGCACGAAAGCGUGGGGAGCAAACAGGAUUAGAUACCCUGGUAGUCCACGCCCUAAACGAUGUCAACUGGUUGUUGGACGGCUUGCUGUUCAGUAACGAAGCUAACGCGUGAAGUUGACCGCCUGGGGAGUACGGCCGCAAGGUUGAAACUCAAAUGAAUUGACGGCUGAGACGNGCGAGCGACGACGAGGGAGGAGG
This 617-nucleotide ribosomal RNA is filed under the name uncultured bacterium. Its description in RNAcentral is "bacterial SSU rRNA". It matches the Rfam family "Bacterial small subunit ribosomal RNA", at positions 338 to 947 of the family's 1533-position model. The record is from RNAcentral.